This 497-nucleotide ribosomal RNA is filed under the name uncultured bacterium. RNAcentral describes it as "partial 16S ribosomal RNA". It matches the Rfam family "Bacterial small subunit ribosomal RNA", at positions 28 to 507 of the family's 1533-position model. The record is from RNAcentral.
GAUGAACGCUGGCGGCGUGCCUAAUACAUGCAAGUCGAGCGAACAGACGCGGCGCUUGCUCCUCUCACGUUAGCCGCGGACGGGUGUGUAACACGUGGAUAACCUACCUAUAAGACUGAGAUAACUUCGGGACACCGGCGCUAAUACCGGAUAAUAUAUUGCACCGCAUGGUUCAAUAGUGAAAGACGGUUUUGCUGUCACUUAUAGAUGGAUACGCGCGGCAUUAGCUAGUUGGUAAGGUAACGGCUUACCAAGGCAACGAUGCGUAGCCGACCGGAGAGGGGGAUCGGCCACACGGGAGCUGAAACGCGGUCCUGAGGCCUACGGGAGGCAGCAGUAGGGAAUCUUCCGCAAUAGGGGAAAGCCUGACGGAGCAACGCGGCGUCAGAGAUGAAGGUCUUCGGAUCGUAAAACUCUGUUAUGAGGGAAGAACAAAUGUGUAAGUAACUAUGCACGUCGUGACGGUACCGGAUCAGGAAGCCCCGGCUAACUACGUG